Molecule: ribosomal RNA, 497 nt
Filed under: uncultured bacterium
Lineage: Bacteria
Description: partial 16S ribosomal RNA
Rfam family: Bacterial small subunit ribosomal RNA
Source: RNAcentral
GAUGAACGCUGGCGGCGUGCCUAAUACAUGCAAGUCGAGCGAACAGACGAGGAGCUUGCUCCUCUGACGUUAGCGGCGGACGGGUGAGUAACACGUGGAUAACCUACCUAUAAGACUGGGAUAACUUCGGGAAACCGGAGCUAAUACCGGAUAAUAUAUUGAACCGCAUGGUUCAAGAGUGAAAGACGGUUUUGCUGUCACUUAUAGAUGGAUCCGCGCCGCAUUAGCUAGUUGGUAAGGUAACGGCUUACCAAGGCAACGAUGCGUAGCCGACCUGAGAGGGUGAUCGGCCACACUGGAACUGAGACACGGUCCAGACUCCUACGGGAGGCAGCAGUCGGGAAUCUUCCGCAAUGGGCGAAAGCCUGACGGAGCCACGCCGCGUGAGUGAUGAAGGUCUUCGGAUCGUAAAACUCUGUUAUUAGGGAAGAACAAAUGUGUAAGUAACUAUGCACGUCUUGACGGUACCUAAUCAGAAAGCCACGGCUAACUACGUG